AAGUCGUAACAAGGUUUCCGUAGGUGAACCUGCGGAAGGAUCAUUAACACUUUUGAAUCCUGAACUUGUUCUCCCAAAUUCACUUGGGCAGAACUCGUUCUUAACCCCACAAUUUGCGAACGAUGAUUUAUAUCGCGGAUAAUUUUAUAUUAUCUUCGAUAUAUUUCCCCUUUUUCUCUUUUUUAUUCCCCAUUUAUUUUUACCCCAAAUUAUCCAUUCGACUGAUAUGAACUUUAUCUUUUUCCUUAAAACGAAAAAGAUAAAACGAUUAAAAAAUGGUUAAAACAACUCUUAGCAACGGAUAUCUUGGCUCUC
This 315-nucleotide unclassified non-coding RNA is filed under the name fungal sp. Its description in RNAcentral is "partial internal transcribed spacer region". The stretch from base 1 to 46 matches the Rfam family "Eukaryotic small subunit ribosomal RNA", at positions 1786 to 1831 of the family's 1831-position model. Lineage: Eukaryota; Fungi. The record is from RNAcentral.